RNAcentral lists this ribosomal RNA (512 nucleotides) under Munidopsis amapa. Its description in RNAcentral is "partial large subunit ribosomal RNA". It matches the Rfam family "Bacterial large subunit ribosomal RNA", at positions 1830 to 2597 of the family's 2925-position model. The record is from RNAcentral. Lineage: Eukaryota; Metazoa; Arthropoda; Malacostraca; Decapoda; Munidopsidae.
GUCUGUAUGAGGUUAUAUAGAGUCUAACCUGCCCACUGAAAUUUAAAAGGCCGCAGUAUCUUAACUGUGCAAAGGUAGCAUAAUAAUUAGCUUUUUAAUUGAGAGCUUGAAUGAAGGGUUGGACAAGGAAGAAUCUGUCUUUGAUAUUAUUUUUGAAUUUUACUUUUAAGUGAAAAGGCUUAAAUUAUUUAAAGGGACGAUAAGACCCUAUAAAUCUUUACAUUAUUUAUUUUUUAUUUAUUUAGAUUAAUUAUUGGAUAGAUCAUAAAAUAUAUGUUUUGUUGGGGUGACAGAGAUAUAUACACAAAAAACUGUUUUUUUUGUUAUUCAAAAAUUUUUGAUAAAUAUAUUGAUCCUUUAUUAAGAUUAUAAGUUUAAGUUACUUUAGGGAUAACAGCGUAAUUUUUUUUGAGAGUUCAUAUCGAAAAAAAAGUUUGCGACCUCGAUGUUGAAUUAGAAUUAUUUAUAGUGCAGAAGUUAUAAAGAUGAGUCUGUUCGACUCUUAAUUUUUU